GAAAAACUGUAAGCAAGCUGAUACAAAUUAGAUUACGGUAUUUCUUUCACUUCAUCUUUUUCUUUGUGAUUUCAUGGGGUGCAAAAAAUCAGAAAUGGAUUUCUGUGUUAUUAAUAUCAAAAUGUGUUUUUUUCUAUCUUCUAAAACUUUUCUAAUAAGAAGUGAAAGUGAAUAUCCAAACAGCAACUACACCACUUUAUCAUUUACAAAGCACCAACCAACAACUACAAUGGAACAACCUCAGGUACGACCGGUGGUGAUCCGUUAUCUUCUACAGUCUUAUUUUCGGGGUUAACUUUGGUUUCUUUGUUCUCUUCUUCGAAUCCUUGCUUGAAUAUAUCAUAGUUUGUGGGCUCGUGGCUCUUGAAUGGGCGUUCACCCAAUACUCGAACCAAAUCUUCUUGAUGAAGAACCUCUUUCUCAAGUAGUAACU
This 433-nucleotide unclassified non-coding RNA is filed under the name Hevea brasiliensis (rubber tree). The record is from RNAcentral. Lineage: Eukaryota; Viridiplantae; Streptophyta; Magnoliopsida; Malpighiales; Euphorbiaceae.